AGUAGUGGUAUUAAUGGAAACGAUGCUCUGCCGAAUUGACAUUUGAGAGGGGAUGCCACAGCGAAAUCGGCUGCUGCACCUUUGUUUCCCGAAGUGGAUAAGAUUGAUGGAAGACUGUACAAUCUCAAGGAGGAGGUGUCUGUUCAAGACUCUUAAGCACUGCAAGACACUUGUUGAGCUGGAAAAAGGUGUGGAUGGCUUGUUUGGUAGCUUUGCAAGGUUAGAUUCACGUAUUUCAAGUGUCGGACUUACUGCUGCCAAGAUAGAUCACUUGCAGACCCUAGGGUCAAAUUCAUUGAAAAGGAAAAAGAGUACAAAAAGUCACGGUACACUAGAGGAGCUAUGUCAUCAGGUGUGGACUCAAUCCAAACCUGUAGCUCAUUACCAGAUUUGACUUUUCUGGCAAGGUAAUGGGCAACAGUAUUGCCUAAUCUUUUUACAUGAGAGAAAACACAAAAGCGAAGCUCAUUUGCUAACACAAGGGAAUCCUGGAUGAUAUGGCCAAAUUCGGAGUUGCUGGUCCUACCAUCUUUAAGAGCCGAGAUGACAAUCUCAGCAUCCCCCUCGACAGUGGCUUCAAAAAUACUCAUCUCCUUCACGAAUAAGACUGCUCUUCUACACGCUAAGGCUUCCACCGUAGCAACUGAACAUGGCAGAGGUAUUCUUUCAGCCAAGGCGCCAAUAACUAAACCUUCAAAGUCUCGGAUAACCAUACCCACACCAGCAGCACCCAAUUCCUUAAAAAUUGCCCUGUCAAAAUUCACCUUAUACGUCAAAGGAUUAGGGGGAAUCCACCUAGAGUUGCUGCCAGAAACUGAAAGCUGCACCUGUCGAGGAAUCUGAGCCGAGGAAAAAUCAUGGAGAAAGGUCAAAGCCUUAACACGAAUAGUACGAAGGUCAGUAGAGCAGCCCCCCACGCGGUCAGAAUUUCUACAUUCCCAAAUCAUCCACAAGAUCACAGCUACCAGGUUGAUAUCGAAGCAGUCCUUCAUCUCCACUACCGUCUCCAUGAGGUCAGCAAAUGUCAUGAAUCUGUAUUUUAGAAGCCUCUGACCAGCUGCAGUAGCUUCCCAAAUGACCCGCAAAGCUGGGCAGCUCCACAAGGAAUGAAUGGAGUCCUCACAAGCCAAGAGACACAUAGGACAGGUGACUGAAGAGACCACUUUGCGUUUCCACAGGUUUAGCAGGGUUGGGAUAGCUUCGUGAGUUGCUCUCCACAACAUGUGCUUAACCUUGUGGGGGACCAGCAAGCACCAAAUUCCAGACCACAUUCUUUUGUUUCGACCCAAGUUGGAGCAGUUUGGAACAAGACUCCUAUCAGAUUUAGCUAACAUCUGGUAUGCACUCCGAGUGGUGUAGUUACCCUGGCUUGAAGGGAACCAAGUUUGUAAGUCUGGGAUCUGAUUUAAGCUCAACGGCAAACCAGCAAUAAUAUUAGCUUCGUGAGGAAGGAACUCGUGCUUAAUCAGAUCAGCCUUCCAGGUACGGGAGCCAUCAUCAAUCAGGUUUCUUACAGUGGACACCGGGCCAAGAGAGGAAUUGGGGAAAUGACCCUUCUGCAGCUUUGGGUUGGUAGCCAAUUAUCCCCUUGGAUUUUGAUUGACUUGCCAUCACCAACUCUCCAAAUUGAACCUGAUUCAAUGACAUGUUUGGCUUGGAGAAUGCUUUUCCACGCGAGUGAACCUUUAUGAUGACUCGUUGCCUCCAAUAUUGAGCAAUCCGGAAAAAACUUGGCCUUGAAAACCUUGUGAAAGAGAGAGUCUUCAUGGUUCGUCAAGUGCCAAAUCCGUUUGGCCAGAAGGGCAUCAUUGAACUUAUUUAACUCCCUAAAUCCCAUACCCCCCUCACUCUUCGGAAGACAAUUUUUCCCAACUAAUCCAGUGAAUGCGCUUCUGUUCUCCUUUGUAACCCCACCAAAAUUUUCUUAUGAGUAUUUCGAUUUCCUUGAUCAGCCCUUUUGGGAGCUUAAAACACGACAUGGUGUAGGUGGGAAUCGCCUGAACAACUGCCUUUACUAAGAUUUCCCUGCCAGCUUGGGAUAGGAGUUUCUCCUUCCAGCCCUUAAGCUUCUUCCCGAUUCUUUCUUUGAUGAUGCUAAAAGAUUUCUUUUUGGCGCGGCCCACCAGGGAGGGUAGACCCAAGUAGUGAUCAUAACUUUGAGAGGCAGCCACCCCCAAGAAAUUCUUAAUAUCCUCCCAAGAUUGAGCUGCAGUGUUAGAGCUGAAAAACAAAUUUGUCUUACCCCUGUUGAUAUUCUGACCUGAUGAUUGCUCAUGGAGUGUUGGUAAUUGAUCAUUUAGUUUAUGCUACCCUUUGUUUAGGAUUCACUAACUCCAUGUUAUUAAUUUAAUUCUUGAAAUACUUGAUGGAGUUCAAUAGCAGCCCAGGAGACCUAAUGGAACUUUCACCUCUAUUUUCUGAUGACAGCUAUGUUGCUGGGGCUGCUUCAAUUGUACAAAAAUUGCGGAAACCACUUGCAUAAAGGGCUGCAUGAUCAUUGGCAGAAGUUCACUUUUAAUCCCAGGUUUAUUCAGCUUAGAAACAACUGCAAGAGUGCAGCUAGACUUAAUUCCUUGUGGCCAAGCUCGAGUUGAAAUGGAAGUGGAAUGCUGAUUUAGAUAUGAUCUUUGAGAUUUCUUGAAUUCCCUCAAGUUGCAGUAAUUUGGUGGCAGCUAAACCAGUACAAGAUUAAAUUAAUGGCCAGGCUGAUGAGCUCAUCUUUGGACAGUAAAUUGUAGUAGAUUAUACUUUUGAAUUUCUCUCUUUCGUGGAGUGUAUAUCUUUGAAGGUAUGGAUAAGGCUUUAGCUUAUGUGGUUUCUAUAACUCUUGCUUGUGUGUCAACAAGAAAUUUAUGCCCUGGUGUGCGCCCUUGUAAGUUAUAAAUGAUACUUUUGGGUAUGAAUAAUAAUGACAGUUGAUUUUGUUGUA
This is an RNA transcript of Quercus lobata, 2929 nucleotides long. RefSeq lists it as uncharacterized. The record is from RefSeq and is a predicted model, not a curated record. The transcript is spliced from 6 exons. NCBI's taxonomy places the organism in Eukaryota, Viridiplantae, Streptophyta, Magnoliopsida, Fagales, Fagaceae.